This 1789-nucleotide long non-coding RNA is filed under the name Lathyrus oleraceus (garden pea). Its description in RNAcentral is "Pisum sativum (pea) long non-coding RNA (PSAT_LNC028469)". Lineage: Eukaryota; Viridiplantae; Streptophyta; Magnoliopsida; Fabales; Fabaceae. The record is from RNAcentral.
UUCUACCAUCCAAAACAAUUAUCAUUAAAAUUCUAAUAUCAAAACAAUCAUUAAAAUAUCAAAUCAAUAUUCCAAAUAAACUAAUUAAAAUUCUAAUUAUUAACAAAAUCGAAUAAAUCCUAACAAUUAACCUAAUCACAUUAAAAUUCUAAUUAUUAAUAGAAUCACAUUAAAAUUCUAAUUAAUGAAUCAAAUUAAAAUCUAAUUAUUAACAAAUCAAAUAAUCCUAAUUGCUAACAAAUCAAAUUAAUCCAAAUUGCUAACAAAUCAGCAUGGACCUUGGAUAGUAUGGGGAGUGAGCAGUGCAAAUAAUUAGGCCUAACAGAAGGAUUGAGCCCUAAAUGGAGAAACUGGACCGUUUGAGCAAAAAAGCCCAAAUCUUAAGUCAAACCUGAGCUCAAUCAAUCGAACCUCAACCAAGUCGUCACGUCGAACAAGAAAAAAGAACUCCUACGUCAAAACUCACCGGUGGUGCCGAAAAACUCCUUGCCGGCGGCGUAUGCGAGCAACCAGGAAUCCGGUCUCGUUCAGGUGUUAUGCUUUGAUCUACUCUUUCACUCCAUAUCGUGAUUGUCCGAGUUGCGCCGUUUUCGACGGAGACUCCGAUUUCGCAGCGAUGCGUUCUGAGAUGACGACGACAAGUUCAGGUCCGCGUGCGUUUAUCCAGGAGUGCUUCGCCUCGUCUUCCUCUUCUGUUUCAAUCUUCUGUUUCUGUUUCUAGGUGUCUCGCCGUAGUGGAUCGCCUUGCCGUUUUCGAGGAAGACUUUGCGUUGUUGUUGUUCGGUUUUGCGAUGUGGUGAUGCAGAUGAUUUGUAGAAUUGAAAACAAGGUGAUGUAUGGUGCGUGAGAAGCUUCGUGAUGGAUGUGAGAGUUUGUAGCGAUUCAACUCAGAAGGAGGAGGAGCGAUUUGUUCUGUAGAAUCGAUUUUGGUUGAAAAAAAGGAAGAGAGGUUUCACUGUUAACUUAUCCGUUUAUAUAGAAACCAUGUUUGUAAUUUGAAUUGAGUUGGAGCUGUGAUGGAUUUACAAUGCCGUUUACGCGUUGGGCAUUGCGUUUUGGUUGUUACCAUUGUGCAGCUUUCCAAUUUUCUGCGUUUUGUUUACGGUAUUGCUGCGUUUCACUUAUGCUGCUACCUGCGUUUUGAUUUUCACGUUGCUGUUUCAAUCUGUUUGCAACUGCGUUUCAGCUUGUUGCAAUUUUCGUUUUGAGCAGUUGUGCUACCGUUUCUGUUUACGCUUGUUGCAAUUUGCCGUUUGGAUGCAGGGUGCAGCUGGUGUUGUCGUUUUGGUAUUUGAGUUCACAUCAUUGCCGUUUGGCUUGCUACUACCUGCGUUAUGCCACAACUUUUGCAUUUUUGACUGGUUUUGGAAGCUUUGCAGCCUGCCGUCGUUUCCACUUUUUGUCCUAUCUGUAAUAGAUAGGUGUAUUAUAUUACAUGGAUUAAUUAGUUUUUUAAUGGAUGAAUGUUAAUGUUAAAAAAGCUAAUGGAUAAUGGAUUUAGAGAUUGGAUUAUUGGAUUGGAAAAAAUGGAUUUGGGCUAUGGUUAAUUGAAUAAAAAUUGGAUAUAGAAAUUGGACUUAGAAAUGGGAUUUAGAAUGUGUUAUGGGUUAAUUGGUUUUGGAAUUAAAAGUGGAUAGAAUGGAGAAUGGCUAAAUGGAUUUGGUAAAUGGUUAAUGAAUAAAAAUUGGUAAAUGGGCUUAAGUAAACUUAACCACCAUGGCCCAUCCAAAAGAAAAAUUCAAAUUGGUUGAAAUUUUAACAAUAAAUCGAAACCGAAAACUUGACUUUU